Molecule: long non-coding RNA, 2628 nt
Filed under: Equus caballus (horse)
Lineage: Eukaryota; Metazoa; Chordata; Mammalia; Perissodactyla; Equidae
Description: lncRNA (ENSECAG00000058145.1)
Source: RNAcentral
GGAGGGCCGGCGCCACCUCCGACCCGGGAGAUCCAAUGAUACUCAAAUUAUCUGUGGGAAAUAAGAAUGCUGUAUGGAGCACCUGGCAAGAACCUACAGGAGAAUCGCAGUACAAACUUCAAGGAUUUUGGAGAAAAGCCAUACCUUUAUUUGGCAGGUUCUGAAGUUCCCGUAUCCUAGAGCCACCUAGCUGAGCGAUUCUGGCCCAGGGUCUCGGCAGUCAAGCUGUCUCCCAGCUCUGCAGUCAUCUCAUCUGGCUUGACCAGGACUGAAGGGUCAGCUUUCGAGCUCACUCAAGUGUGAUGAGCAGGCCUCAAUCGCCUCAGACGACCAUCUAGUAUCGCCAUCCUUAACAUAAAGGAGGCUACGUUUGUAUCAUCACAAUUGCGCGAUUGAACUAUAGGGGAAGAGAAAUGUCUUUUGGUUUCUGAAUGUUUCCUCUUGAUGUUUCUAUUGCCCUUAAAAGAAAUUUCAGUGAUGGUCCGGAUGACUGGAGGCCACAAUGAGUUAUUGAAUUCAACCCCUCUGAGAGGCUCUGGGCUUUCCUGUGAUGGUGACAAGAUUGUCCAUGCUGGUCCGAGCAUCCUGUCUUUGCACAUCAGUGACCCGGGCCGUCAAGAAGAAGGGCAUGGCUUCCCCGCAGUGAGUUCUGUGUCAGUGCAGAGGUUCUCUUCAGGGUGAAGAGCCAAGGCUGUUCCUCUGGGAGGAUCAGCCCACGGUCCACAUCAAUUAAGUGAAAGAGCCUACAGAUUAGUUACCUGCUUAAAUGUGUGUACCAAGUCAACUUAUCUACUUGGCAGUUAUCUCUUCUUUAUAAAAUAGGACACAAGAGAAAACAUUUGACUUGUGUUUGGUCAGAUUUCCAAUAAAUAGAUAAUUUUAACCCAGAAUAUUUUGAAUAAUCUCAUUAACAUACCUCUGCAGUUGACUUCUCUGGAUUCAAUCUGAAUAUUACUAGCAAUCGACUGUGACUACACUGGGCCAAACUUCAGAGUCUGGAAUCAUAAAGACCUAAGUUACAGGUAAUGGAGAUGACACCAGUGUCUGGGGCAGUUCAGUAGCAGCAUGAGCAUCAGCCUGAAUGGUGCUCCGAAUACCUAAGUGGGAAACAGAAGGAGAUAGAAGAGUGGACCAUGCAGAGUAUGGAGCAACUCCGAGUGGAGCUGGCCUGGGUCUUGAUGAUUCUAUGGCUCAUCGGGUAUAUAAUCAAUGCCCUGCAGAUUCUGCUAGAAGAGAGCCUUCUGGAAUAGGACUGAAGUUCUGCAUUAUGAAGUCUUUUUCAGGUGUGACUUGGACCUGGAUCUUCCAUAUAAAUUUCAGAGUUACAAAAACCUAAAACAAAAUGAGCAAAGCAGUUGGUAUACUGAUGAUUGGAAUUGCACGGAUUCUAUGUAUCAGUUUCGGGAAAUCUGACGUACUGUGCCCUUCCACUUCAAGUUGGUCAAGAGUUUUAUCAGACUUUUGCCUGAGCACACUUUCUACAUUUGAAAUUUCAUAAAAGCACUGGAAAUUCUUGAAAAAAUCUGGACUCUUUAUUACAAUGUUUGACAAAUAUGUAUCUUUCUAAUAAUUAAUGUGUUCUGAUGUUCUGUAAUUGUUUUAUCAUUUGUCAGUGUAGUCUAUCACAAAUUAAGUGAUGUAUUAAAGGCUAUCUUUACGGCCUUGUGUUUGUUAAUAAAGGUAUAUAUUUCUAACAAUUCUUGCAUUUUACAUUUGAAACUAUGUUGUGGGGUACCUAAGCUUCCUUAAAUUUACUAUUUAUGUACCCUAUUUGCCUCAUACGAUACUCAUGCCUUGACCUUUGCUUUGGGGCGUGGAGGGCAAGGUGGUCAGCAAGCAGUUAAAGUAACAAUCUGGAAUUCAGGGACAGGGCUGCAGCAGAGAUUAGAAGUGGACGUCAUACACAUGAAAAUGGGAGGUGAAGCUUUGAGAGUGAGUGGAAAUAGGGGAAGAAUAGAAGGGGACAAAGGAAUCAAGGUACAUUAUUUUAGAAACCAGUUUUUAAAGGACUAGCAAGGGAGACUCUCAUCAAGCAAGCAGAGGAGAAGCAGAAUAGGGUUUGGCAGAGAAGGGACGCCCAGAGAGACUCUGUCAAGAAGGUGCAGUUGGCAAGAGCAUCAAAGCCUUCAUCAUGGACAAGGACAGUGACAUCCACUUCCUGCCUGUUUAUUCAAACAUACACACUAGAGUGUAAGAUUGAGGGCAAGAAUAUUUUUAGAUGUUUUCUUCACUGGAGAAUCUCCAGAUCAUAAACAUUGCCUGGCACAGAGUGGAUAGUGAUAAGAUUUGUUGAAUGAAUUAAAAAUAUAAUCUUGUUGAUCAUUAAAAUGAAACAAUUAGCAAAUCCUAUAUGAUUUCAAGAGAGGUGAACUCUGAUAUUCAAAUAUGAUUCUAGAUCCCAUUAUACUAUAUUGUAACUUAUAGGGUUAAGAAAGAUAUGCCACAAAGGAGAGCAGUUCAAAACGCUUGGGUUAUAAAACAGUUUACUUGGGCCUACUGCAUAAAAGUAUCAAAUGUUCACGUUGUAACAUUUUUUUCCUUAAUCUCCCCUAUUUUCAUAGAGAUACACACAUUUAUUAAUAACUCUUAGUUUAUCUGUCCUAAUGGUAAUAGCACAUCAGAAUAAAA